AGUGGUACCUGGCACUGAUGGCUGCCGCUUUUGACCACGAUUACAGCCUCGCCCUCUGGGGGCCGUCAUCUCCCACUCCCUCCAGCAGGCCCUUCAUCCGGGACUUUUGUGCACCCCGAAGUUCCAGUGCCAUUCCUGUUUCCUUUGAGUGUAGCAUAAUGCCUUUUCCUGCAGCUUUUUAAAGAGCUCUGGAGAGCAGAGAAUGCUUGAAAAAAUGCAGGAAAGGAAACACCCUAAUUACCCAAAUGUGUCACGCAGUGACCCGCCUGACACGAAUCCCUAGGAAACCGAGGGGUCCAGGCUCCUUGGUCAGCAGUCUGGGUGGGAGGGAGCCUGUGCACCAUUGCUGGGCGUCGCCCCUUGCCAUCCAGGACCUUCCCAGCAAGGGCCAGCUGGCAGUGAACACCUUGGUGUUCCUUUCAGAACCAGCGGCAGAGGCUGGAGGUGGAGCUGGUGGGCCUGAAGACCGACAGGGUCGUCCUGGAGGAGUCUGAGAACCUGAACAUGGUGCUGAUGCUGUCCCACUUCGGCCUGCAAGUAACGGACACGGCGUAAAGUGGUGCCCCACCCCUGCCCCGAUGGGGACCCCAGGAUAUCAAGCAUGAGUGCUGAGGUCGACGUCCACGGAGGCAUCUCUCUGAGCGGAGGGAGGAUGGAGAAUCCCAGGGCCUUGCAGACCGGCAGUCAGCACAGCUCUGCUGAGCGAGGAGAAAUAAAUCGUGCGUGUGUGUUUGUGUUUGCACAACAGACUCAAUCUGUCUUUUGUGUCUGGGGCUCAGCAGAGCAUCUGCCCUGUGAGGACUCCUCCCAUGGGCUAAGAGUUGAGCAGCUUUGUCUUGGGAAGAUUCAAGUAGAGUGCAUCUGUCUCUCUGCAUCUAACAUCCACAGAGAGUUCAAGUGCACACCCACCCUCACAGGGAACACAGGCCGAGCAGCCCCCUGUGUGUGCACCCGCCUUCCUCUCGUGGUCAGUCUCUGUGACUCAGGCAUGCUUUGGUGUCCUCUACUGAAUUAUGAGGACAGCAGUCGCCACCCAUCAGCCUCAAAGGGUGGGGUGAAGAUCGAGUGACACAGCAGCUUGCCUGAGUCCCUCAGAAGCUGACCCUGAGACAGGAAUUGCAUGCAAGUGAGUUACUGCGGAGGUGAUCCCAGGUAGGAGGUUGGCGCAGUGAGGCAGGGAAGCAAAGACAGCCAUGAAACC
Molecule: long non-coding RNA, 1201 nt
Filed under: Equus caballus (horse)
Lineage: Eukaryota; Metazoa; Chordata; Mammalia; Perissodactyla; Equidae
Description: lncRNA (ENSECAG00000059666.1)
Source: RNAcentral